Molecule: ribosomal RNA, 497 nt
Filed under: uncultured bacterium
Lineage: Bacteria
Description: partial 16S ribosomal RNA
Rfam family: Bacterial small subunit ribosomal RNA
Source: RNAcentral
GAUGAACGCUGGCGGCGUGCCUAACACAUGCAAGUCGAGCGAACGGACCAUAACGGUGCUUCUCUGGUGUUGGCGGCGGACGUGAGAGUAACACGAGGAUCCCCGCCCUAUGAGACUGGGAUAACUUAGGGAAACCGUAGCUAAUACCGGCUGAUCUUUUGAACGGGAUGGUUAAAAAGUGAACGACGUUCUUUGAGUCCCUUAUAGAUGGAUCCGCGCUGCAUUAGCUAGUUGGUAAGGUAACGGCUUACCAAGGGAACGAUGCAUAGCCGACCUGACAGGGGGAUCGCCGACACUGGAGUUGAGACACGGUCCAGACACCGACGGGAGGCAGAAGUAGGGAAGGGUCGGCAAUGGGGGAAAGACUGACGGAGCAACGCCGCGUGAGUGAUGAAGGUCUGCGGAUCGUAAAACUCUGUUAUUAGGGAAGAACAUAUGUGUAAGUAACUGUGCACAUCGUGACGGUACCUAAACAGAAAGCCACGGCUAACUACGUG